Molecule: ribosomal RNA, 1479 nt
Filed under: uncultured Bordetella sp.
Lineage: Bacteria; Pseudomonadati; Pseudomonadota; Betaproteobacteria; Burkholderiales; Alcaligenaceae
Description: partial 16S-23S ribosomal RNA intergenic spacer
Rfam family: Bacterial small subunit ribosomal RNA
Source: RNAcentral
AGUUCGAUCAUGGCUCAGAUUGAACGCUGGCGGGAUGCUUUACAUGCAAGUCGAACGCGUUAAUGGACUUCGGUCUGGUGGCGAGUGGCGAACGGGUGAGUAAUGUAUCGGAAACGUGCCUAGUAGCGGGGGAUAACUACGCGAAAGCGUAGCUAAUACCGCAUACGCCCUUCGGGGGAAAGCGGGGACCUUCGGGCCUCGCACUAUUAGAGCGGCCGAUAUCGGAUUAGCUAGUUGGUGGUGUAUCGGCUCACCGAAGGCGACGAUCCGUAGCUGGUUUGAGAGGACGACCAGCCACUGGGACCGAGACACGGCCCGUGACUCCCACGGGAGGCAGCAGUGGGGAAUUUUGGACAAUGGGGAAACCCCGAUCCAGCCAUCUCCGCGUGCGAUGAAGGCCUUCGGGUUGUAAAAGCACUUUUGGCAGAGAAGAAACGCACUGUGAUACACCCUGUGCAACUGACGGUACCUGCAGAAUAAGCACCGGUUAACCACGUGCCAGCAGCCGCGGUAAUACGUAGGGUGCAAGCGUUAAUCGGAAUUACUGGGCGUAAAAGCGUGCGCAGGCGGUUCGGAAGAAAGAUGUGAAAUCCCAGAGCUUAACUUUGGAACUGCAUUUUUAACUACCUGAGCCAGAGUGUCAGAGGGAGGUGGAAUUCCGCGCAGCAGCAAUGGCAGCGGCAGAUGCAGUGGAGGAACACCGAUGGCGAAGGCAGCCUCCUGGGAUAACACUGACGCUCAUGCACGAAAGCGUGGGGAGCUGAAACAGAUUGAUACCUGGUAGUCCACGCCCUAAACGAUGUCAACUAGCUGUUGGGGCCUUCGGGCCUUGGUAGCGCAGCUAACGCGUGAAGUUGACCGCCUGGGGACGCAUGGUCGCAAGAUCAAAACCUGCGAAUUGAUUGGGACCCGCACAAGCGGUGGAUGAUGUGGAUUAAUUCGAUGCAAACGCGAAACCUUACCUGCUCCUCGACAUGGUCAGAAUCCGAAGAGAUUUGGGAGUAAGCCUCUGCAAGAGAACCGGAACACAGGUGCUGCAUGGCUGUCGUCAGCUCGUGUCGUGAGAUGUUGGGUUAAGUCCUCGGCAACGAGCGCAACCCUUGUCAUUAGUUGGUUACCGAAAGGGCACUCUAUCGAAAGGACUGCUAGCACAAACCGAGGAAGGUGGGGAUGACGUCAAGUCCUCAUGGCCCUUAUGGUAGGGCUUCACACGUCAUACAAUGGUCGGGACAGAGGGUCGCCAACCCGGCGAGGGGGAGCCAAUCCCAGAAACCCGAUCGUAGUCCGGAUCGCAGUCUGCAACUCGACUGCGUGAAGUCGGAAUCGCUAGUAAUCGCGGAUCAGCAUGUCGCGGUGAAUACGUUCCUGGUCUUGUACACACCGCCCGUCACACCAUGGGAGUGGGUUUUACCAGAAGUAGUUAGCCUAACCGUAAGGAGGAAGACACCACGGUAGAUUCAUGACUGUUAUCGUGUUGCA